UUCAUUGAUAUACCAAUAAGUUCCUACUUCAUUGUUAUGCAUUGAUGACUCCAAAACACAUCAUUGAUAUGCCAAUGAGUUCUUACUUCAUUGUUAUUGCAUUGAUGGUCUAUUUAUAUGUCUCUUAUUGAUGUAUCAUUAUUUCAAAGUAUCAAAAAUGCGGUGGCGACCGAAAUAACAAUCUCAAAGAUUAAUUGAACUAAGUGAUGGAAGUUCUCUCUUAUCGGGUGGUAUCCCAGGGGCAUAAGCCUAUCAUGGGUCGAUCCCUAUUUAUGUGUUUAUGGGUGGUAUCCCAAGGGCAUAAGCCUAUCAUGGGUUGAUCCCAGUUGAUA
RNAcentral lists this long non-coding RNA (332 nucleotides) under Capsicum annuum. Its description in RNAcentral is "long non-coding RNA (CANN_LNC011133)". Lineage: Eukaryota; Viridiplantae; Streptophyta; Magnoliopsida; Solanales; Solanaceae. The record is from RNAcentral.